This 524-nucleotide long non-coding RNA is filed under the name Setaria italica (foxtail millet). Its description in RNAcentral is "long non-coding RNA (SITA_LNC001799)". The record is from RNAcentral. Lineage: Eukaryota; Viridiplantae; Streptophyta; Magnoliopsida; Poales; Poaceae.
GCGCCGAGCUGAGGAAGCUCGCCGGGCGCGUCAUGGAGGCCAUGGACGAGAACCUCGGCCUUGAGAAGGGCGCCAUCCAGCGCGCCUUCUCCGGCGACGGCCGCCACGAGCCCUUCUUCGGCACCAAGGUCAGCCACUAUCCGCCGUGCCCGCGCCCGGACCUCGUCACGGGCCUCCGCGCGCACACGGACGCCGGCGGCGUCAUCCUGCUGUACCAGGACGACCAGGUCGGCGGCCUGGAGGUGCUCAAGGACGGCCAGUGGACGGACGUGCAGCCGCUCGCCGGCGCCAUCGUCGUCAACACCGGCGACCAGAUCGAGGUGCUCAGCAACGGCCGCUACCGCAGCGCGUGGCACCGCGUCCUCCCCAUGCGCGACGCCAACCGCCGCUCCAUCGCAUCCUUCUACAACCCGGCCAACGAGGCCACCAUCUCGCCGGCGGCGGUGGCCGGCGGCGAGGCCUACCCCAAGUACGUCUUCGGCGACUACAUGGACGUGUACGCCAAGCAGAAAUUCCAGGCCAAG